This 465-nucleotide ribosomal RNA is filed under the name uncultured bacterium. Its description in RNAcentral is "partial 16S ribosomal RNA". It matches the Rfam family "Bacterial small subunit ribosomal RNA", at positions 28 to 507 of the family's 1533-position model. The record is from RNAcentral.
GACGAACGCUGGCGGCGUGCUUAACACAUGCAAGUCGAGCGGAAAGGCCCUGCUUGCAGGGUACUCGAGUGGCGAACGGGUGAGUAACACGUGGGUGAUCUGCCCUGCACUUCGGGAUAAGCCUGGGAAACUGGGUCUAAUACCGGAUAUGACCUUCCAUGUAGUGUGGGGGGUGGAAAGAUUUAUCGGUGUGGGAUGAGCCCGCGGCCUAUCAGCUUGUUGGUGGGGUAAUGGCCUACCAAGGCGUCGACGGGUAGCCGGCCUGAGAGGGUGGACGGCCACAUUGGGACUGAGAUACGGCCCCGACUCCUACGGGAGGCAGCAGUGGGGAAUAUUGCACAAUGGGCGGAAGCCUGAUGCAGCGACGCCGCGUGGGGGAUGACGGCCUUCGGGUUGUAAACCUCUUUCGACAGGGACGAAGCUUCGGUGACGGUACCUGUAUAAGAAGCACCGGCUAACUACGUG